AGCCAGGCAAUGCCAUGUUGACUUCCAUUUACGUCAAAGGAGCUUUCAUUUGCAUCUGCAAUGACAGCCACAGAUGACAGAACUCAAGCCCUGGGGUGGGACAGGCAAUGAGAAGAGUCAUUCAUGUCAUGCCAGGAGCGUGAUGUGAUGCCAAGCAGGGGGAUUCAAAUGCAAUAGUGAGGCAGGAAGCUGCGGCCAGAAUGUUUUGAAGAGAAGGAAAUGAGACAUUCAUGGGAACGAUUCUCAUUGAAUUCUGCUUUGAGAUGCAAUGCUCAAGCUCCGGAGUAGUAGCAGAAGGGGAUGCUGUGGUGUUGGAGGUGUUUGCAUUCAACGAACCGCCAGGUUGCCUGUUUAAUGACAAGAACAAUAAUUAAUCACACUCUCAUACUUUUCCAUUUCACGCCACCUUUGAAAAGUCUUAACGUCUACUCAUACUCCUGCCUGCUCUCUGUUCAUCACAAAAUGUUUCACUUGAGGAUGGAAAAACAGCCAAAAAUCUUCUUCCUGACUUCCUUAGCUUAGAAGUCGUCAGGCUCUCAUAUAAGUAGCUAAAACUAAAGGAAUGGAAUAAAGAAGUGAUUCAUAAAAUGACAUUAACUGUCGGAAAUUCUGACCAAUCCAUUCCGUGUGCUACAGAUUCACAUUUCGUUUAUUCCUGUGAUUGUAUUGUGACUAAUUAUGUUGCAGUUUUUGCAUUACAAGCAUUAUUGCUUAGGAAAACAUUUUAAAUCAUACAAUCUUAAGUCUCUAUCUAGCAUUUAUUUAUAUAUGCACAUCCUCAAAAAAUGGAAGUGACCCAGGCCUGUUUCAAGCUCUGAGGGGUAUGAUCCAGUGUGUAAAUUACUUUAUACAUAAAUAGGAAUUCAAAAACAAAAUAAGUUUAUAAAUCUGUCCAAUUUGGGCUGCGUAUAACCACCAGUAGUACAUUCCAGAGAAAAUGUACUUCAUUUAAAGAGAUUUUUAGCUCACCCUAUGAUUUCCCAAUUCAAUUUUCUCUGAAGGAGGAGGUGUAAAUGUGAAGGGUAGGUGGGGAAGGAAGUGAGGUGUGAAGGAAGGGUUAGUUAUUGUGGGGGUAGAGGGAAGAAAAGUCCUGUGGGAGAAAAAAUAAGGAGUCCAGAUUUUAAUAAAGAAGAAGAAAGAAAGGAUGACCUAAGCUUUGGUGUUUGGUUAGAGUAGUGAUUGGCCUUUUUUUCUGCAAAAGUCCAGAGGGUCACAAUUCAACCUUGGCAGACCAUUUUGGCAUCUGUCUUCUGAUACUCAACUCUGCCAGGACAAUAGGGGCAUGGCUGUGUUCCAGUAAAAUUGGCCUGUGGGUGGUAUACCCUGGAUUUUCUUGAACAUAUACAAAGAAAUAUACUACAAUUAGAAAGAAUACAUACAACUUUGUUACUCCCGAUGAUCUAAACGUGGACAUGCUCCUGGUAAGAGAGAAGAAAGCGAAGUUUUAACAAUGAUGAACAUUUGCAUCUAUUUGGAAUUAUUCUUAAAUUUAGAGUUAUUAAAAGUUAGACAUUGGUUGAGAGAAAUAGAAAGCAUCAUAUUUGAAUAAAUUUAAUGAGAUGACCUCAUGAUUUUGUUUCUUGACUAGAUUCCAAAGAAAUUUUUUUCUUCUGAAAAUUCAGCAUAUUUUAAGCCCAAUGUUUUUAUUUGUUGGGUUCAGUAAUUUUCCUUAACAGUAAUAAUGUAAAAUUUGCAUUUGCACCUAUUUCAUAAUUUUGCCACCAGGACAACUUAAACAGAAACAUACAUGUGUUAAGAAUGGUGAUUUGGUCGGGCGCAGUUGCUCAAGCCUGUAAUCCCAGCACUUUGGGAGGCCGAGGAGGGUGGAUCAUGAGGUCAAGAGAUCGAGACCAUCCUGGUCAACAUGGUGAAACCCCGUCUCUACUAAAAACACAAAAAAAAUUAGCUGGGCAUGGUGGUGCGUGCCUGUAAUCCCAGCUACUCAUAACAAGAGCAAAACUCCGUCUCAAAAAAAAAAAAAAAAAAAGAAUGGUGAUUUGGAGCUACAAGUGCUCUUGAUUUUUAAGCUCAACAACAAGGUUUCAUUCUAGCCAUGUACAGGAGUAAUGAUUUUUACUCCUGAAUUUCUGCAAUAAAAAUAUCGAGACUAAGAAUUUACAGAAAGAUAUCAAGUAGGUUUGAAGACUUGCAAGUACAUAGGUAACACUUAGAAAAAAUAUUAUACUUGAGCCUUUCCCACAGUUAGUAGAUACUGGUACCUAUUGGUUAGUUGGUUAUCCAAGGUAUUGGCCUUAAAUGUUUUAGCAGCGUCCUUUCUGUCUGAGAUCCUUUAUAAAGAAACAAAACAAAAGUCUGGAUAAACAUUUAAGUUAUCAAACUCCUUUCAGACCUUUUUCAUGCUAGAAUAACUUAACAACAUAGCCUUUCUCUAGUAAAGAGAACCAUUGUUCAAGUGUUACAUUUUAGAAAAUUUUAAAAUACAAGGAAACUACUUAUGACAAAAUCUACUUAUAAGUUGUUUUAAUAUAGUUUGAAAUUUUAUUUUAUUUUAUUUUAUUUUAUUUUUUAUUUUUGUGAACUGGAGUCUUGCUCUGUUGCCCAGGCUGGAGUGCAGUAGUGUGAUUUCAGCUCACAGCAACCUCCACCCACAGGGUUCAACCUAUUCUCCUGCCUCAGCCUCCUGAGUAGCUGGAACUACAGGCAUGUGCCCUGAUUCCCAGCUAAUUUUUAUAGUUUUAGUAGAGACAAGGUUUCACCAUGUUGGCCACACUGGUCUCGAACUCCUGACCUCAGGUGACCUACCUGCCUCCCCCUCCCAAAGUGCUGAGAUUACAGCCAUGAGCCACUGCACCCAACCUGAAAUAUUAAAAGUGUUAUGCCUUUUGCCUGUCUUUCUGACUCAUUGAGCAUUUAACUCAUUAACUAUUUUAAUUUUCAUUAUUGUCUAAAGAUAUAUCUUGUCAAUGACUACUUCCUACGUCAGUGAAAGGCAGCAACAAAAUACUUAAAUUUUUUUAACUGUUUGUGGCAUAGACAAUAUUAUGUGUUUGCCAAAUACAUUUUCUUUUAUUUCUGAGUAAUCAGGGAUACCACAUUUCCUAACCAUCGUUGCAAUUGAGUUGGGACUAUGUGAUUGAGCUCUAGACUAAAGAGUGGGCAGACAUGUUAUCUGCUACUCCCGAACCCAUUGUAAAACCUCCUGGUGAUCUUCCAUGUUCUUUCUCCCCUCUUCUACUAUGGCUUUCGUAUGCAUGGGUUAAAGAUGGCAGCAUUCAAAUAUAGAAACAACUUAGGUCCUUGAGUCACUUCAUGGACUCCAGCAAAUUAUACUGGGCUCUGAUGAGUCAAGCAAUACCUUAUAGUGUGUUAAACCAUCUAGAAGAGGAAGGGGACUUGUUAAAAAGUUACUCUACCUUGACAAAUUAGUUUAUUUUGACUAAUACAUGUAAUGAGUCUAAAUUGUCAUUAGAAAUUUUAAUCAUUCUAAUCUCAUAGAUCUAGAAAAGGUGUGUUUAUUUGCUUUUUGUGUCAGAAAGCACAAAUAAGGAAGGUUAUCAUUCUAUACAAAUGGCGGGGUCUCAUAACUUCAGCCUCUGUUUUCUUUCCUUGUCUCUUACCUACUACUUUUUGCUGGUCAUUUGAUAUUCUUUUCUCUACUCUCCAGAACAUCCCUACAAGGUACGUGUAAUGAUUUUCAUUUUGUAGGUAAAGAAAUGGAGUCUCAGAGUCAUUUGUGUGGUUUUCUCUUGGCCACACAAGUAGAAAGUAGUCUAUCUCCCAAGUUGUUCACUGGGAUCCAAUGUCAUAUAUCUGAUUCUGUAGUAUGAUUGCUCCCCAAACUCAUAUAUUAGGUUAACACGCCUUCCUUUAGUCUUUGUUCUUCACCUCUCACAAUCUCUUUCAUGCCACCCAGGGGAAAAGUCUAUCAAUGGUAAUUGAGAGAACUCUAAACAACCAUUCCAAUACAUAUGCUGAUUUCUUAUUGCUGGGGGAGAUUAAUUUUGUAUUUUUCCUGGAAAUUAAAUUUUCUGUCAACUUGUGAUAUAAAAUAAGUGGUUUUAAUAAAAAUCGGUCUUGGAAA
Long non-coding RNA from Callithrix jacchus (white-tufted-ear marmoset), 4042 nucleotides. RefSeq lists it as uncharacterized. The record is from RefSeq and is a predicted model, not a curated record. NCBI's taxonomy places the organism in Eukaryota, Metazoa, Chordata, Mammalia, Primates, Cebidae.